This 257-nucleotide ribosomal RNA is filed under the name uncultured prokaryote. RNAcentral's name for it is "partial 16S ribosomal RNA". It matches the Rfam family "Bacterial small subunit ribosomal RNA", at positions 524 to 780 of the family's 1533-position model. The record is from RNAcentral.
UACGGAGGAUGCGAGCGUUAUCCGGAUUUAUUGGGUUUAAAGGGUGCGUAGGCGGCUUAGUAAGUCAGCGGUGAAAUUUUGCAGCUUAACUGUAACAGUGCCGUUGAUACUGCCAGGCUAGGAUUUGGUUGCUGUGGGUGGAAUGUGUGGUGUAGCGGUGAAAUGCUUAGAUAUCACACAGAAUAUCGAUUGCGAAGGCAGCUCACAAAGCCAAGAUUGACGCUGAGGAACGAAAGUGUGGGGAUCAAACAGGAUUA